RNA transcript from Nicrophorus vespilloides, 1432 nucleotides. It is a transcript of the gene named histone deacetylase complex subunit SAP30 homolog, with no coding region annotated. The record is from RefSeq and is a predicted model, not a curated record. The transcript has 4 exons. Lineage: Eukaryota; Metazoa; Arthropoda; Insecta; Coleoptera; Silphidae.
ACAAGAGUAACAUAGGGUCCCAUACGGCGCCGCUAUUGGCCGCUUUCAAAUCUGCCGCAAAAAACCGUCCAAUGCGCAACGCGGCUUCCCAUUUUAGUUACAAUUCUUUUGACAGCCAAUAAUAUUUUCAGUUGCGCAAUAGUAGGAAUGAGUUUUUUGUGUACGUAAACAUAAAACCCGCGCCUUUUUAUAUGAAACUGGAAAUUAAACUAAAUCCGACGAAAGCCAACCAACGCCGCAUGAAUCCAUACAAACGCUUUCUUUGUAUUUCGAAUUAUCCGUGGCUUCGCGGACCCUUGGAUGUUCGCCACAAAAAUGUUCAUAUCAAUCCAACUAAAUAAUCAUAUGAUUUCAUGGUAAAAGGAGGAAAAAGUAGUCCCGUUUCGAACGAACCAAUUGGAGCGCACCUUUCCGAAAACAAAUGGGCAAAGUAGGGCGUCGUUCAUUGGCAGGCCCUCAGUUGGUAGCAACAAGCGUAUAAACAAAAGCGAUUAUACGAUUAUUUGCGGUAUUGUCAAUUAAAAUCGGUUCGUUUGUUCCUUCUUCAAACGUCCCGAAUCUUGAAUCUGUCAGAUUUGAUUUGGUUACUUCAAGUACAGUCGACAACGGCCGCCAGUUGUUUACGGUUCGCGUGUGAGUGAGUGUCAGAUGAGGAUCUUCUUGACCAAGGGCCCCCAAAACCCUAAAGGAUGAACGGCUUCAGCACCGGCGAGGAAGAUUCUCGCGGUCCCACAGACCAAACCUGUUGUCUCCUCGAUUCCGGGGAACGCUGCCAGAAGACCGCUGGCAACGCAUCCUACAGCAAUCGAAUCCAGAAGACCGUCACACAAAGGAGGCUACCCCUGGACAGAGAUCGUUCUGUUAGGCACAUUUAUAUCUGUGAUUACCACAAAAUGAUGAUCCAAUCAGCAAGGAACAAGAGGCGCCGAAAAGAUUCUGAAGAUGAUAGCAAUGAGACAGACACAGUGGAUACACAAUUGCCUGAAGCUGAUCUCUUUCAACUGCAAGUGAACACUCUCAGAAGAUAUAAGCGUUACUACAAAGUAACUUCCAGGCCAAGUCUGAAUAAAACUCAAUUAGCAGAAGUUUCCCUUCCAAUUGGUCACCAACCACGAGGUCUAUGUGUAUAGUGUCGUGUGUAUAGUGUGUGGUGUGCAGACUUAUUAAUCGUUUCAAUUCCACUAAGUAACGAUCACCCAUCCAAGUACAAUUCGAUCCAAACGUUGCUUUUCUUUCGUAUGCCAUCUAACAUCACCCGAUGGACGUCACAUGGCGUUUCUGUGUUCUAAUGAUAGAUGUUCAAAUUUUGCACUUGCCUGAAUAAAAGUCAAUAAGCAGAAACGCUGAUGAAACAUUUCAAAUCAAUACCGGUGAAGGAAAAGGAAGUACUAACAUUUUUCAUCUACACUGUGAAGACGAACGGUAAUAAGCU